Molecule: ribosomal RNA, 955 nt
Filed under: uncultured bacterium
Lineage: Bacteria
Description: bacterial SSU rRNA
Rfam family: Bacterial small subunit ribosomal RNA
Source: RNAcentral
CCUACGGGAGGCAGCAGUCGGGAAUCUUGCGCAAUGGGCGAAAGCCUGACGCAGCAACGCCGUGUGGGCGACGAAGGCCUUCGGGUCGUAAAGCCCUGUUGUUGGGGACGAAGGGCGAAGGGUUAAUAGCCCCUAGCUUGACGGUACCCUUCGAGGAAGCCCCGGCUAACUACGUGCCAGCAGCCGCGGUAAUACGUAGGGGGCGAGCGUUGUCCGGAAUUAUUGGGCGUAAAGAGCGUGUAGGCGGCUUGGUAAGUCUGCCGUGAAACCCCGGGGCUCAACCCCGGGCGUGCGGUGGAUACUGCCAGGCUAGAGGAUGGUAGAGGCGAGUGGAAUUCCCGGUGUAGCGGUGAAAUGCGCAGAUAUCGGGAGGAACACCAGUAGCGAAGGCGGCUCGCUGGGCCAUUCCUGACGCUGAGACGCGAAAGCUAGGGGAGCGAACAGGAUUACAUACCCUGGUAGUCCUAGCCGUAAACGAUGAACACUAGGUGUGGGGGGAGUCUAAUCCCUCCGUGCCGCAGCUAACGCGAUAAGUGUUCCGCCUGGGGAGUACGGCCGCAAGGCUAAAACUCAAAAGAAUUGACGGGGGCCCGCACAAGCAGCGGAGCAUGUUCUUUAAUUCGAUGCAACGCGAAGAACCUUACCUGGGCUUGACAUGGUGCUGCAAGCGCACGGAAACGUGUGACCUUCGAGGGUGCACCACAGAUGCUGCAUGGCUGUCGUCAGCUCGUGUCGUGAGAUGUUGGGUUAAGUCCGCAACGAGCGCAACCCCCGUGGCGUGUUGCCAGCAUUAAGUUGGGGACUUCACGACGGACUGCCGGAGACAACUCGGAGGAAAGUGGGGAUGAUGUCAGUCAUCUGGCUCUUCGCUCUGGCUAGAAACUUGCUACAUGGCGCAUUCAAAGGUCAUAAGACCCCAAGGUGGACCGAAUUCCAUCAAAUGCGUUUAAGUCCG